Molecule: ribosomal RNA, 477 nt
Filed under: uncultured bacterium
Lineage: Bacteria
Description: bacterial SSU rRNA
Rfam family: Bacterial small subunit ribosomal RNA
Source: RNAcentral
GUUUGAUCAUGGCUCAGAAUGAACGUUGGCGGCGUGGAUUAGGCAUGCAAGUCGAGCGCUCAUAGCAAUAUGGGAGCGGCGAACGGCGUAGUAAUAUGUAGGAACGUACCCUCGGGUCGGGGAUAGCCAUGGGAAACUGUGGGUAAUACCCGAUAAUCUCUGCGGAGCAAAGGUGUGAUUCCGCCUGAGGAGCGGCCUACACGAUAUUAGCUAGUUGGUAGGGUAAUGGCCUACCAAGGCUACGAUGUCUAGGGGGUAUGAGAGCAUGGCCCCCACGACCGGAACUGAGAUACUGUCCGGACACCUACGGGUGGCUGCAGUCGAGAAUCUUCCGCAAUGGACGAAAGUCUGACGGAGCGACGCCGCGUGCGGGAUGAAGGCCCUUGGGUUGUAAACCGCUGUCAGAGGGGAUGAAAUCUUCGGAGGUGCUCCUCCAAAGUUGACAGAGCCUCAAAGGAAGCACGGGCUAAGUACGUG